AGUGAACGCUGGCGGUAGGCCUAACACAUGCAAGUCGAACGGCAGCACAGUAAGAGCUUGCUCUUACGGGUGGCGAGUGGCGGACGGGUGAGGAAUACAUCGGAAUCUACUUUUUCGUGGGGGAUAACGUAGGGAAACGUACGCUAAAACCGCAUACGACCUACGGGUGAAAGCAGGGGAUCUUCGGACCUUUCGCGAUUGAAUGAGCCGAUGUCGGAUUAGCUAGUUGGAGGGGUAAAGGCCCACCAAGGCGACGAUCCGUAGCUGGUCUGAGUGGAUGGUCAGCCACACUGGACCUGAGACACGGUCCAGACUCCUACGGGAGGCAGCGGUGGGGAAUGUUGGACAAUGGGCGCAAGCCUGAUCCAGCCAUACCGCGUGGGUGACGAAGGCAUUCGGGUUGUAAAGCCAUUUUGUUGGGAAAGAAAAGCAGCAGGUUAAUACCCCGCUGUUCUGACGGUACCCAAAGAAUAAGCACCGGCUAACUUCGUG
Molecule: ribosomal RNA, 492 nt
Filed under: uncultured bacterium
Lineage: Bacteria
Description: partial 16S ribosomal RNA
Rfam family: Bacterial small subunit ribosomal RNA
Source: RNAcentral